UACGUAGGGGGCAAGCGUUGUCCGGAAUCAUUGGGCGUAAAGAGCGUGUAGGCGGCCCGGUAAGUCCGCCGUGAAAGUCUAGGGCUCAACCCUGGAAUGCCGGUGGAAACUGCCGGGCUGGAGUCCGGAAGAGGCGAGUGGAAUUCCUGGUGUAGCGGUGAAAUGCGCAGAUAUCAGGAGGAACACCAACGGCGAAGGCAGCUCGCUGGGACGGUACUGACGCUGAGACGCGAAAGCGUGGGGAGCAAACAGG
This 253-nucleotide ribosomal RNA is filed under the name uncultured bacterium. Its description in RNAcentral is "partial 16S ribosomal RNA". It matches the Rfam family "Bacterial small subunit ribosomal RNA", at positions 524 to 776 of the family's 1533-position model. The record is from RNAcentral.